Long non-coding RNA from Mus musculus (house mouse), 8945 nucleotides. RefSeq annotates it as predicted gene, 32497. The transcript has 4 exons. The record is from RefSeq and is a predicted model, not a curated record. Lineage: Eukaryota; Metazoa; Chordata; Mammalia; Rodentia; Muridae.
GCCACGGAAACAGAAUCGCUGCCGCUCUAGCCGAGAGAUCUGGAUUCUAGAUGUACUGGACCCCAAGCUGAGAGAAUUGAGGUGAUUUUCAUAAAGCUACAUCAGUAGGUUUCCAGCUUGAACCACAAAGCAAAGUCCUAGCCAGUGUUAAGGUAUUUACGAGACUGUCGGCUUGCAACACUCGGAGAAAAAGUUCCCAUACUAACUUGCUCACUGCCUGGCAAGCCCUGGAUCCAUUUCUCCCUCCUGUCCUGGAGUCCCUGAGAAUCCCUCCUCUCGAGCAAUGUUCUAGCUUCUUGGGCCCCUUACAUCCUGCAGAGAAGCAAAGAUGGCCUGGCUGGAGUUCUGGUCUUACUUCUGUCCCUGAUACCCAGAGAACUUGUUUUUGCCUUCAAGCCUGCCUUGGGGAUUCUUGGAGUGGGACCUGCAGUCUGGUCAUGACCCACAGGAUGGCUCACAGGGCUCCAGGCCCCCACAAGAAAACUAUUGUUCAACGGAGACUCAGGAAGUGGCUUUCAUCGUCUUGACAGUUUCUGAAUGUGGCAAGGGGUGGCUACUCUACUGGGAUAAGUAGUUCUCUAGGCAGUGGCAUCUAGUUCUUUUUUUACAACCCCCUGUGUAGAAGCCAAAUGAAUAAAGCAAAACUCUCAGUAUGCAGUCAUAAUUUGUCUAGCCUGGAGCCUGUCCAGGAGAUGAGAAGGCUGCAGGGGACUGUGGCAGGGACAGUCCCACGCUAGGCACCGUGAGCGCCUUAUCUGCUCUCUGCCACGCAGCACACACUGACCUAGCACGUGGCUUUUGCCCCUAGGCAGAGCUACCUGUGUGUUGGAAGGCUAGCCCAUCCUCUCCAUCCCUCACCCCAGACAGCCCUCAAGUAAGGAUGGAGAAGGGACUAAGCGAUGGUGACUAAGUACUUCUUCUGUGGCUCCUCACUGGUGAGAGUGAGGGGGUGAGUAACAGAGCCGCAGGCAGGCUGAGCCCCAGGAGCCCAUGGCACAUACCAUGCCUAACAGCCACACUUCGCUGCGGUCUCUCCCUCUCACCCAUGCUCCUACUUCUCUACAGUUUAGCUGGAGCCUUGACCUCCCCCACCACACACAUCCUGGAUCCCUUCCCCUCUACUCGCAGGCGCCAGUGCCUGGACUUCUAUGCAGAAAGCUCAAGCCCUGCAUCAUCUGGUAGGGUCACAGCUGCAGAUGUAGACACCUCCUACCGUGGGUGGAUGCCCUCAUCCCCUCCCUAUCCCCUUCAGCCUCUUGGUUUGGAUGGGCUUAGAAAGUAGACACCUGGCUGAGCCCCAGGCAGCCCUGGCCUUGCACAAGUCUCUCUCGUAGGGCGGGGAGAGAUGAGCUAAUUCUGUGAGAGGCAGGAAGAAUGGCCUUCUGACAAGAAGAGGCCUGUCCCCUCUGGCUCUUGGGGCACUAUUGCAAGCUGCCUGUAUAGAGAAACAGCUGAGCCGCCUAGGAGUUGCUUCUGUUCUGAACACCCCUAACAACUCCAAUGAGCUCCGAAGGAAUAGAGGGAAGGGUGGGAACACACCCACCUCCUUUGUAGUUGAUAGAUCUUGUAAGUCAAUAUUUUGGGACAGUGCUUAUUUUCUGUGCCUAGUGUACUCAAGGGCAGCUUCUGUACCUGACAACUCUAAAACUAACUAACUAACUAACUAACUAACUAACUAACUAACUCUCUCUCUCUUUCACACACACGCAUACACACACACUUACAUGCUUUCUCCCUGUCUCUGCUACCUCUGUCUCUGUCUCUCUCUCUCACUCUCUCACACACACAUUCCUAAAUAAAUAAAAACAAUCUGCUCAGUCUAUAUAGUGCUACUUAUACAGAUGUUUUGAGGGCUGACCACUUAGUGUUGGACGGCCAUUCGGUAUGCUCUUCCUUGGUAAGCUGGUUGGUGUUUUUAAAAGGUUAACCUGACGACAUCCCAGGCAUUCCCACAUGGCCCUUGUUUUUAGUGGCCACUGUGGCCAUGGAGAAACUCAGCCCUUUCCCUGAGUGCAAUGCUCUUCCCACAUCUGCCUGCUUUCUAACACAGCUCUGCCUCUUCUCCAAAGUGAGGUUUUAAUACCCUGGGGAUCAUCCAACUGCCCUCCCCCCAGUUCCUUAGCCUGGGAAUGCUGGGCCCACAAGUUUCCUCCCACUGGUCCUCUUUGUUGAAGAGCAGAGCAAGGUUACAGGAGCCCAUGGCACAGCCCUCAGCGAGAUGGGAGUUGGGGGAACCAGGGUCAUUGCCCCAGUCUUCCUGGGUCACUCAGGAGGAGGGAUAGCUUCCUGGGGCCCAAACUGGACUCGCUUUCAAGCAAAUUCUGUCACUAGCACUGAGAACUAUAGGGCUGGAGUCUGUCUGUCCCUCUCAGAGCCUCGAUUUCCUCCUCUGUAAAUGGGUGUGCUAACAACAGAGCCCCAGUGACCUCUCCCAUGGCACAGAGAACACAGGUUUUGGCCACAACACAUAUCUGAUGGUUAGUCAGUUCCCACAGGCUGGCAGUAAAAUCCAGAGCCAUUUCCAUGGGAUCUGGCCUGGGAGGGGCGAAGGCCCGGCAGAAGGAAGGAAGCCAAGCCCUCCCCCACAGCCCAGCUCUGCAGAGUUCACAUGGGGGUGGGGGUGGGGAUGGUGUCCAGGAGGAAGUCUGUCCCUGGCCUUGAGAAGGUGCCCCAGCCUGCCAGGCAGGCUGGUGUUUCAAGGACAAGGCCUUGCCUUCCUGCUAUCUCUGGGGGAACUGGCAGCCACUAACAAAUCCCCUGCAAUCUGCACCCACCAAUCCUGCCUGCUCGCUGGGCAGCCAAGAGCCGUUUUUCACGGGGAGCUGCACACAGCUUUGUCUUAGAGAGACAGCUCUGGCGGGUGCCCCUGAAUGGGGCUAUUUGUCCUCCAUGCUGAAGGGAAGGCAGCUGAAUGCUCUGUUGGGGUGGGCAGAGGCAGAGAGGGUGGAGAAAGGCUAUGGGGGAGGGUGAAGGUAGAGAUAGCAGCCACGACACUAUGAGAGACCAGAAGUGCUGUCCACCACGGAGGUGUCUCAGAGUCACCAUGCAGCUCGGUGAGUGCAAAAAAAAAUCUUGUUUCCACAGCAAUGGGACACUGGUAUAUGACCGGCCUUCCCUGGUGUAAAGAGCCCUGGCUGGUAGAAGUUGAAAUGACCUGACUGGUUUUGGGUGCCUUUGUCCCAUCCCAGCCCCACGACAAAUUAACUACGGGGCUGCCACACUAGUGCCGUAGAAGGCCCCAUUCCAGCCCCUAUCCCUGAACUGAGAGCUCUAGAGUGAGACCCAGUAUCUCUUAAGAGCCUCUUCCACAGAUCACAGGCAGAGAGAGGCAAGGCAUGUCUCAGUGUCUCCACUAAGACCAGCUGACAUCUGACAGGCACAUGACUCAUUAGGGAAACAGAGCAGGCAUGCAUCUGGGGACUUAAAGCCAGCAAGCGACAUUAUUUCCACUCCCGUUCUGGGACCUGGGCUGCUGUACUGGAAGGUGUGCUUAGAACAGAGGUCAGAGGUCAGAGAACCCAGUAGACUUUACCCAUCUUGGGGAUGCAGACCCAAGGUUUCCAUUCAAAGGAUGCAGAACAUCUGCGUGAUGGUGCUACUCCACGAAGAGCAAGUAAGUGCACAUAACUAACAGGCAUGUCCUAAAACCACACAGCAGUCCCACGUCCACAGCCAGCUCUGGGCAGCCUGGCUGUGUUAAGAUUGGCAAACACCCUCUGCCUGUCCCCACUUGAAUCAUUCCUCUGCCUCCUGUGGUCCCUUCUCCAAAAGCUUGCUGGUGCCUGUCAGGAUGGCCUGGGUAUUCUUGAUGCCUCCCACAGUAGCUGGGUGCCUAUUCUACCAAUAGUCCCUUUAAACCACCCAAGCAUCCAAGCAUUGGCUAUGCCAGGGAGAAAAAAGAAGACAAAAAAAAAAAAAAAAGCAGCUGGCACCCCCACCUGUGCCCCAGCCCCAUUAUGGAUAGCUUGGGGCGCAUCUUCCUUUCCUUUGGUCCCUGGGCUGCUUACCUUCUGGGCUCUGACAUUCUCUAUUCUGCUAUUUCAACAUGUGCUGGCUGCUCAGAGGGUCAGCUGAGGCUACAUAGAUCUAUUCAAGCAUAGACACCAGCGGAGGCAUGCAGGCAACUCUUGGGGACCCUCGGACAUGGCGACUGCCUGGUUUCUCGCUCCCAUGUAGGCUGAACAGAAGGCUGAACCACUGAGUGAGCGCCCAAGAGGCUGACAUUACAGUACAGCCUGCCAAGUUACUCUGGGCUGGCAUGCGGUGGUGGAGGGGGCUGAUGGGCAUUGCUACAGCCUUGGAGGAGAGCCUGGGAUGUGUCAGGUGCUGGGGGCUGGGCAGGUGACCUUCUAUCUAGGAAGGGGUGGGGGGUGUGGGAGGGUGCAGCCGGCCCCUCAGGAGCCUCAAGAUGAGGAUGCAAGUGCAUGUGCGCAUGCGUGCUCCUGCUCCCGUGCGCGCAGAGGCUAAAGGCUGCAGCAGAACAAAGAGUUGGGGGCUGGGCAUCAGAGGGCCCCACGUGGAGGCGGCUGCCUGGGCGGCUUGCUGUAGUGUCUGGGCUGUGCUCAGCUCUGCAUUCCGUCUCUGUCUCUCUCAUUUUCGUGCCAUACAGUGCUGCCCCCAGGCCUGAGCCUGCUCACCGUCACCACCCUGCUCACUGCCACAACCACGCACACAGCCCAACUCUUUGGUAGCAUUCUUGACAAAGCAUCUCCCCUCACAACAUGAUCUCAUUGCAGGGCCUUCUCAGGCCCCAGCCUGGCCUCCUGACAGGCGAGACAGAAGGCAGAAGGGUGGGAGAGGCGCCCAUAGAUGCAGCUAGUUGCGCGUGCACACACUGCUCAGCCAUUCCGUAACAGUCAUACACCACCCCCAGAACCCACACACAUCUGUGAACACCUAUAGGUCUCUGUGCACUGAAACCCCUCCACCAUCACAGGACUCCUCAGGUACAUGUGUUCAUACUCAACAGUCAGACAUACCAGGCAUGAGCAUACACGAGUAUGCAAACAGACAGACAGACAUGUGCAUGUGCAUGACAUACAGCCACACACACAGAGAUGCAGACCUUGUACACACAUACCCAUACAGUCAGACAUACCAGGCAUGAACAUAUAUGAUCAUGCAAACACACAUAUAUACAUACAUAUACACAUUACAUACAUAUGUACAUAAAUACACACAUAAUACAAUGUACACAUGCAUGACAUACAGCCACACACAGACCAUGUACAUACCCACACAGCCAGAAAUACCAGGCAUGAAUACACAGGGAGAUGGCCUUGAACACACUUAUAGCACUCCACACUCACAAUGCACACAUGCACGAUACUUAUAGCACUCGACACUCACAAUGCACACAGGCACGAUCCACAGCCACGAGACGCACAUACUUCACAUAAAGACACACAUGCAUGCACAGCCAUACACAUGUAGAGCCACAUGUACCCAGUGUGGGGUUAAAGUCUGAGAGCAAGGAAACUCGGAAAGUCACAGAAAGUCAAGGAAGAUAGAUAUGGCCAAGAAUAAUGAGGAAGGGACAGUCAGCAGAGGCCCUCAGGGAGGAAGGACAGCAACACUGCACAGGCAACUAGACAAAGUGGAGCCUAGGCAAAUGGGGCAGACGGGGGGGGGGGGGGGGAGCAGCUGGGGUGCCAUAGUCUCUGAGCACAGAGUGCCAGGACCAAGGCCUCUUGGGAGACUUAGGAAAGCCAUGUGCACCAGAAGGGCAGGUUACAUCUGGUCAUGGACCCACUUAUCCACAGAGCUAAGGGGGAGUGAUGUGCAUUUUGGGCGGAAAGGAGGGGUCAGGAGAUGUGUUGCAGACAGACACACGGAGAACGACGGCUGGAAAGUGGCAUGUGCUGGUGUCCACCAUGUCAAGUACCACCUGGGCAUCUUUCCUGGCCCACAUUGAGAGAGCCAGCCCUCUGAGUUCCCAGAGGCAUCUGUGCACCAGGGCUGCAAGCCUCCAACCACAGGUCUGAGCCAGGCAAGGUGGCUGAGAGAUCAACCUUGGGCCCAGCAAGCCCCUCAUCCCUUGAAAGAAACCAGCUGAGAGCCUGCAGCCUAUCAAGCAGGGAUGCCCUUACACACCUAGGGAAGCUGGCGAGUCAGGACUGUUGGGUCUGAGGGGUCUGACAGGUCUGCCUCCUAACAAGGGGACAUUCCACUUCUGCCAAGGCACAGGCAUGCUGGCUUACCAGCUGACAAAGGAGUUACAUGGACAAAGGAACAAACGGACGACACUUUGCCUUAGGCCCAGCACGGGAAGGGGUGCUGUGAACUGUGACCUUGCCCAGCUGUGACGCAGACAGGGAGAACAAACCUGAGUGUCAGAAUCAGAAUGCUGAAAAUGGCUCUUGGAAAGUGCAGCAUCCUGCUGCCGUGCCAAGCGAGAGGAUGCUUGGAUCCUAGACAGGAGUCAGCUGAGAUGGAGCAGGCAAAGCCCUCAGAGGAGGCUGCAGUCCCGGUUCCAGCUGGAUCGUUUGUUAGCUGUGUGACCGCAGACAACCCCCAAGACUUUUCUGAACUUCAGUGGCCUCAUCCGUAAAUGUAGAUAAUAUUCUGUGCCUCACAAAGCUGAGGUUUACUGUGCUUUAGAGACUAUUGUAUGAGCCAUUGGGAGAGGGGUUUAAAAGACCCAGAGGUCAGGUUUCACAGGGCAUGAGGCUUCCCCCUGUACCAAGGACUACUUCUGGCUUCCAGAAUGCCCAUUCUCCCAUUGGCCUUGUCUCUCUUUGCCUACAUGAUCUUUCUUGACUUUGCCUAUUAUCUACCUAUCUAUCUACCCAUCUAUCCAUCAUCCAUCCAUCCAUCCAUCCACCUAUUCAUCCAUCCAUCCACCCACCUACCUAUCUACCCAUCUAUCUAUAUCCGUAUGGAACCCAGGGUCUCAUAGAUGCUAGGUGUCCUGGUUAGUUUUCUAUCAGCUUGACAUAGGUGGGGUCAUCUGAGAAGACAGAACUGCACUUGAGACUAUGCCUCCAUCAGAUUGGCCUCUGGCAAGUCUGCGGGACAUUUUCCUGACUAAUGAUUGAUGUGGGAGGGCCCAGGUCACUGUGGGUGGUGCCAACCCCAGGCAGGUGGUCCUGGAUUGCAUAAAUAAACCAACUGAGCAAGCCACGAGAAGCAAGCCAAUAAGCAGCAUUACUCCAUGGUCUUUGCUUCAGUUCCUGCCUCCAGGUUUCUGCCUUGAGUCAGCCCUGACUUUCCUUCCUGAUGGAAUAGGGUUAUCUGUAGAUGGAAAUAAAUCCUUUACUCUCCACGUUGCUUUGGAUCAUGGAAGUUUAUCACAGCAAUAAAAAACAGCAAAGACACUAGACAAGCAUCUUACCACUAUGCCAUGCCCCAGUGGCCUCCUUAGAGACAUGACACUGUCCCCUAUGUCCACACUGAUCUCUGGCCUAUAAAGUUAUUCUUUGUGCUAGCAGAGAUGGGAUGUCAUAGCCUGGGAUUUUAGCCAUGUUCCCAUUACCUUUAGGACAGAGAACACAACCUUUAAGACAGGGUCUACAUGAUUCAGCUGCCGUUGGCUUCAGCAGCCUCCCUCUGGCCCUGUGCUCUUGCCUCUAGGUUUCAGAACUACCGUCCUUGUUUUAAUUCUGACACAAAGCCCUGUCCUCUUCCCACUCAAGGACCUUUGCACAUCGUGCUCCUUUCACCUGUGAAGGAAUUGUCACACAUUCAACUCUUGCUCAACUUUGGGAAGCUUCCCUUGACCCUGCUCCGAGCCUUCCUUCACAGCACUGAGUACGGCCUGAACCUGCAGACACUUCAACAAGCGUGUACUCUCCAUGUGCAUGCAUGUGCACACCCCCCCCACACACACACAUUACAGUCAUCUGUCCACUUAGUCCGAAGCAAUCAAGAGUGUUAGUCGUCCUGACCCACUCUCCAUGCUUUACGUGUUUCUAGAACUUACCACGACCCCUGCAAGGCAAGUCUCAUUAUUCCUACUUUCCCAAGGAAGUCAAACUGAGGCCUAGAGAUCACAGCUAGCAAGGGCACUCCCAACAGUCAGUUGUCUGUGUUUUUUAAAAUCCAAAUGGAUCCACUGUCUACACAUAUUUAUGAGGCAGGUGUAAAAGUGGAUCAUUAAGAAAGCAAACAAACAGAAAAAUGGAGAUGGGAGUCCAUCUUUUUUUGCCCAGGUUGCCCCCAAAUCCCAGUAACUCUAAUGUGUUCCCUUCAAAACAGAAUGCAGGCUAGGACCUUCCCAGACCUCUGUCAACACGGACUCAGGAGCCCCUUGCUGUGGCCACGUCUCAAUAGACAAUGUUUUGCAGAAGACAUUUUUUUUUUUUUUAGAAAUGCUAGAUUGACAGGUUCUGUUUUGUUUUUGAGUGGGUUUUGAAUGAAUGAGUAAAUGAAUGAAUGAAUGAAUGAAUGAAUGAGUGAAUGGUGGGCAAGGAUCACUGUGCAUACUAACUGCAAUACUGACCUGACUAUGUAUAACUCCAUGACCAGGAAAACCUCUUCUGCUUCCCUAAACCUCACUGUCCUCACUGGUGCAAUUGGAUAGAUAACACAAGGCAUUCGCCAAGUGCCCACAGCAGUGAUGGCACGUGAAGAUGCUUGACCUGCCUUUAGGUCAGUGCCUGUGCUGGGGUGUAACAAAUCUGAGUGUUGUCCCUCUGCUGGGAGACACCCAGGGCUGAGCCCUAUCUGUAAGCCAUAGAGCUGAUCACCCUUGGAGGCUUGCACCGCCCCUAGACCAAACAAGGCUCCUCCCACCUUCUGCAUCCACCUGUCAAGCCCCAGACAGGUCAGUACUUACCAGCAGACUUGGGGGUGAACUUGUCUCGAUUUGCGGCGCACACAGCCAAGAGUCUGUAGCCCAGGUCCAGGUCAAACCCUUGUUGGGCAGCCACACGGCUGACAACCUGACAGCAGGAAGAGGAAAUCCAGGGUGAGUUACCAUUCCCUCAGAGCUGAGCCUGAGUAGG